Molecule: ribosomal RNA, 433 nt
Filed under: uncultured bacterium
Lineage: Bacteria
Description: partial 16S ribosomal RNA
Rfam family: Bacterial small subunit ribosomal RNA
Source: RNAcentral
AGCGAACGCUGGCGGCAGGCCUAACACAUGCAAGUCGAACGAACUCUUCGGAGUUAGUGGCGGACGGGUGAGUAACACGUGGGAACGUGCCUUUUGGUUCGGAAUAACUCAGGGAAACUUGUGCUAAUACCGAAUGUGCCCUUCGGGGGAAAGAUUUAUCGCCAUUAGAGCGGCCCGCGUCUGAUUAGCUAGUUGGUGAGGUAACGGCUCACCAAGGCGACGAUCAGUAGCUGGUAUGAGAGGAUGACCAGCCACACUGGGACUGAGACACGGCCCAGACUCCUACGGGAGGCAGGAGUGGGGAAUCUUGCGAAAUGGGCGAAAGCCUGACGCAGCCAUGCCGCGUGAAUGAUGAAGGUCUUAGGAUUGUAAAAUUCUUUCACCGGGGACGAUAAUGACGGUACCCGGAGAAGAAGCCCCGGCUAACUUCGUG